Molecule: ribosomal RNA, 492 nt
Filed under: uncultured bacterium
Lineage: Bacteria
Description: partial 16S ribosomal RNA
Rfam family: Bacterial small subunit ribosomal RNA
Source: RNAcentral
AGUGAACGCUGGCGGUAGGCCUAACACAUGCAAGUCGAACGGCAGCACAGUAAGAGCUUGCUCUUACGGGUGGCGAGUGGCGGACGGGUGAGGAAUACAUCGGAAUCUACUUUUUCGUGGGGGAUAACGUAGGGAAACUUACGCUAAUACCGCAUGCGACCUACGGGUGAAGGCAGGGGAUCUUCGGACCUUGCGCGAUUGAAUGAGCCGAUGUCGGAUUAGCUAGUUGGCGGGGUAAAGGCCCACCAAGGCGACGAUCCGUAGCUGGUCUGAGAGGAUGAUCGGCCACACUGGAACUGAGACACGGUCCAGACUCCUACGGGAGGCAGCAGUGGGGAAUAUUGGACAAUGGGCGCAAGCCUGAUCCAGCCAUACCGCGUGAGUGAAGAAGGCCUUCGGGUUGUAAAGCCCUUUUGUUGGGAAAGAAAAGCAGCAGGUUAAUACCCCGCUGUUCUGACGGUACCCAAAGAAUAAGCACCGGCUAACUUCGUG